This 500-nucleotide ribosomal RNA is filed under the name uncultured bacterium. RNAcentral's name for it is "partial 16S ribosomal RNA". It matches the Rfam family "Bacterial small subunit ribosomal RNA", at positions 30 to 523 of the family's 1533-position model. The record is from RNAcentral.
AUUGAACGCUGGCGGCAGGCCUAACACAUGCAAGUCGAGCGGAUGACGGGAGCUUGCUCCUUGAUUCAGCGGCGGACGGGUGAGUAAUGCCUAGGAAUCUGCCUGGUAGUGGGGGACAACGUUUCGAAAGGAACGCUAAUACCGCAUACGUCCUACGGGAGAAAGCAGGGUACCUUCGGGCCUUGCGCUAUCAGAUGAGCCUAGGUCGGAUUAGCUAGUUGGUGGGGUAAUAGCUCACCAAGGCGACGAUCCGUAACUGGUCUGAGAGGAUGAUCAGUCACACUGGAACUGAGACACGGUCCAGACUCCUACGGGAGGCAGCAGUGGGGAAUAUUGGACAAUGGGCGAAAGCCUGAUCCAGCCAUGCCGCGUGUGUGAAGAAGGUCUUCGGAUUGUAAAGCACUUUAAGUUGGGAGGAAGGGCAGUAAGUUAAUACCUUGCUGUUUUGACGUUACCGACAGAAUAAGCACCGGCUAACUCUGUGCCAGCAGCCGCAGUAA